UAAUGCAUCGGAACAUGUCCAUUCGUGGGGGAUAGCCCGGCGAAAGCCGGAUUAAUACCGCAUACGCCCUGAGGGGGAAAGCGGGGGACUUCGCAAGAGGCCUCGCGCGAAUGGGUUGGCCGAUGUCCGAUUAGCUAGUUGGUGGGGUAAAGGCUUACCAAGGCGAUGAUCGGUAGCUGGUCUGAGAGGAUGAUCAGCCACACUGGGACUGAGACACGGCCCAG
Molecule: ribosomal RNA, 224 nt
Filed under: uncultured bacterium
Lineage: Bacteria
Description: partial 16S ribosomal RNA
Rfam family: Bacterial small subunit ribosomal RNA
Source: RNAcentral